AUGGCGUCCGAGAAGCACUUCAAGUACGUCAUCCUCGGCGGUGGCGUCGCGGCGGGAUACGCCGCGAGGGAGUUCGGCAAGCAGGGCGUCCAGCCCGGGGAGCUCGCCAUCAUCUCCAAGGAAUCCGUGGCUCCGUAUGAGCGCCCUGCGCUCAGCAAGGGCUACCUCUUUCCCCAGACGCUUGCUUGUCGCUCAACUCUAAACGUGUGUCUUCCUUCCGUGCAAGCAGAUGCCGCCAGGCUUCCAGGAUUCCACACCUGCGUCGGGAGCGGCGGGGAGAAGCUCUUGCCCGAAUGGUACACGGAAAAAGGCAUUGAGCUGAUCCUGAGCAUGGAAAUUGUCAAGGCUGAUCUUGCCUCCAAGACAUUGACCAGUGCAGAUGGAGCAACCUUCACCUAUGAGACCUUGCUCAUCGCCACUGGCUCCUCGACCAUAAAGCUCACUGACUUUGGCGUUCAAGGAGCAGAAUCAAACAACAUAUUGUAUCUAAGGGAAAUUGAUGACGCCGACAAGUUGGUCGCAGCUAUGCAAGCAAAGAAGGAUGGGAAGGCCGUCGUUGUUGGAGGUGGCUACAUAGGACUUGAGCUCAGCGCAGCACUGAAAAUCAACAAUUUCGAUGUCACUAUGGUGUACCCAGAGCCGUGGUGCAUGCCACGUCUCUUCACUGCCGGCAUUGCUCAUUUCUACGAGGGUUACUACGCUAGCAAAGGAAUCAAUAUCGUGAAGGGUACUGUGGCUAGUGGUUUUGAUGCUGAUGCCAAUGGAGAUGUUAGUGUGGUGAAGCUGAAGGAUGGAAGAGUACUCGAUGCCGACAUCGUCAUCGUUGGAGUCGGUGGCAGGCCGCUGACAGGCCUCUUCAAAGGCCAAGUUGAAGAGGAGAAGGGUGGACUCAAGACCGACACAUUCUUCGAAACAAGCGUUGCUGGUGUAUAUGCCAUCGGUGAUGUGGCGACUUUCCCCAUGAAACUGUACGACGAGCCGAGGAGAGUGGAGCACGUCGACCAUGCUCGGAAAUCAGCCGAGCAGGCAGUAAAGGCGAUCAAGGCCAAGGAGUCCGGCGAGUCUGUGGCGGAGUACGACUACCUGCCCUACUUCUACUCCAGGUCGUUCGACGUCGCGUGGCAGUUCUACGGCGACAACGUUGGCGAGACGGUGCUGUUCGGGGACAACGACCCAGCGGCGGCCAAGCCCAAGUUCGGCACCUACUGGGUCAAGGACGGCAAGGUCAUCGGUGUGUUCCUAGAGGGCGGCUCCGCCGACGAGAAUCAGGCCAUCGCCAAGGUCGCCAGGGCCCAGCCGCCGGUGGACGACGUGGAGGCGCUCGGCAAGGAAGGCCUUGAUUUCGCCACCAAGAUCUGA
Molecule: ribosomal RNA, 1359 nt
Filed under: Triticum aestivum (bread wheat)
Lineage: Eukaryota; Viridiplantae; Streptophyta; Magnoliopsida; Poales; Poaceae
Description: partial small subunit ribosomal RNA
Source: RNAcentral